ACCUUGUCGGAGGAGGAAUCCGAAAGUGGAUAUAGGUCACAUUGACCGAACCACUCUAAAUUCUAGUUUGCUUUUCAUUUAUGCAAUUUACAUUACUGCAAACCUCCUUAAUCUUCUCUUGCACUUUUACGAAAGCUUUCAAGUUCAACUUCUCUCCGAAACAAAUUGAAUCGAAACCAUUUUCGUCGGAAUCGAUUUUAAUUGAAACGAAUAUUUUUUCUGAAAUCGCGAAAGUUUUCCGCUGCACUAAUUCACCCCCCCUCUUAGUGCCGCUCUUGAUCCUAACAGUUGGUACCAGAGCUAGGUUCACUCUCAUUUGGUUUUAAACCCAAGAGAGAUGGCAUUUACCGGCAACCUAGAGGGUCAUUCAAUUACACGUUCGCCCAUGUUCAAUGGGACGGAUUACACAUAUUGGAAGACUAGAAUGUAGAUCUUCGUAAUUUCAAUGGAUUUUGAAUUAUGGAAUAUUGUAGAAAAUGAGUUUCAAAAGUCUUCUCUUCCAAUGAAUGAUUGGAAUGAGUUGGAGAAGAAGACUUUCACUUUAAACGCAAAAGCUAUGAAUGUCUUGUUUUGUGCCUUAGAUAAAAACGAGUUUAAUCGUGUGUUCAUUUGUGAAACUGUUUUUGAUAUUUGGCACACACUCGAAGUGACUCAUAAAGGUACUAGUAGAGUGAAGGAGUCAAAAAUUAAUCUUUUAGUGCAUACUUAUGAAUUGUUUCGAAUGAAACCGAGUGAGACCAUUGGAGACAUGUACACCCGAUUUACGGAUGUCGUCAAUGGUCUAAAAGGACUUGGUAAAGGUUUCUCGGAUUUUGAAAUUGUUAAUAAAAUUUUAAGAUCCCUUCCAAAGAGUUGAGACCCUAAAGUCAUGGUCAUUCAAGAGGUCAAAGACCUAAAUAAUUUUCCUCUUGAAGAACUAAUUAGGUUACUAAUGACCUAUGAAAUGACUUGAAAAGCUCAUGAAGAGCUUGAGGACACCCUUCCAAAGAACAGGAAGGAUAUGACACUAAAAACCCAAGAAGAUCACUUGAAAGAAAACUCAAGUGAUGAGGACCUUGAUGAAGACUUGACACUCUUAAUAAGGAAAUUCAAAAAAUUCAUAAAAAUGAACAAAUUUAAAAAUGACACAAAAAAUAAAUUUGAACCCAAGAAAGAUCAAGUAAUAUACUACGAAUGCAAGAAGUCGAGACAUUACAAGAGCGAAUGUCCCCUAGCCAAAAAAGAGGCAACCAAAGAAGAAGGCUCUUAAAGCAACAUGGGACGACUCAAGUUCAUCCGAAGAAGAGGAGCCAACCAACACCGAGCAAGUUGCUCACUAUGCGCUAAUGGCUAUUGGAGAUGAGGUAAUAAGUUCAUUUGAUGCAAAUUUAUCGUUUGAUGAACUUUUAAAUGCUUUUCAUAAUUUAUUUGAUGAAUGCAAAUUAAUUAAUAAAAAAUAUAAAUUGUUAAAAAGGGAGCAUGAUUCUCUUGUUAGUGAUUACAAUAGAUUAAAAGUUGAGCACAAUGAUAGUUUAGCUUCUUGUACGAAAUGUGAUGAAUAAUUUUACUUCAAAAAGAAAACUUGCUACUUAAGAAAACCUUAGAAAAGUUUGAGAUUGGUAGCAAAUCCUUAAACAUGAUCCUUGCCAACAAGGGUCACGUUCAUAGAAAAGGUGGAAUCAGAUUUGCGAAUAGCUCUCACCAAAAUCCAACCACCUUUGUUAAAGACCCUACUUUGCAUGUUUCACCCCGAAAGAAAUGCAACUUUUGUUGCAAAUUUGGGCAUGUAGCUUAUCAUUGUCCAUUUAAGAAAUGUAAUCCACACAAAUUGAUUUGGGUUCCUAAAAGAACCUCAAAUGACUCAAUACAACAUGAUAAGCUAUGUAGAUCGAUUUUUGAGACACCCAAGGUCAAAUGGAUACCUAAAAAUCAUCCUUUUUUGUAGAAACGUUUACCAUCACAAGCUAGGAGCAAGAGAUGGUACCUUGAUAGUGGAUGCUCAAGGCAUAUGACCGGAGAUCCAUCUCAAUUCUCUAAGCUCACUAGCAUAGACGAAGGAUAUGUCACAUUCGGAGACAACAAACAACAAGGGUAAAAUCAUUAGCAAAGGAUCCAUAGGUAACAAAUCCACCUUUUCUAUUGAAGAUAUGUUGUUAGUUGAUGGCUUAAAGCAUAACCUUUUGAGCAUUAGUCAAUUAUGUGAUAAAGGAUACAUUAUUAGAUUUGAAUCCAAUGCUUGCAUUAUUGAAAACCAUUCAAAAACACAUCUAUGAUUGCUCUAAAAUAAAAUAAUGUAUACACUAUCGACAUUAAUGAUCUUUAUAAUGAAAUGUAUUUUUCGAUUUUGAAUGACGAUGCUUGGCUUUGGCAUAGGAGAUUAGGUUAUGCAAGCAUGAAACUAAUCUUUCAAAUUUCAUCUAAAGAACUUGUGAGAAAUUUCUCACAUUAAGUUCGUCAAAGACAAUGUAUAUGAUGCAUGUCAACUAGGAAAGCAAAUAAAAAGUAGUUUCAAACCAAAGAACCAAAUAAGCACCUCUAGGCCAUUGCAAUUAAUCCAUAUGGACUUAUCGGACCAAUUGCUACAUCAAGCCUAGGAGGAAGCAAAUACGCAUUUGUCAUCAUGGAUGAUUAUAGUAGAUACACAUGGACUUACUUUUUGGCAUACAAAAGUGAUUGCUUUAGGUGUUUCUCUAAGUUUUGUAAACUUGUUCAAAACGAAAAAGGUUUUAUGAUUUCGCCAAUUCGAAGUGAUCACGAUGGUGAAUUUCAAAACCGUGAUUUCUAAGAAUUUUGUGAAUCUAAUGGAUACAACUACAACUUCUCUACUCCAAGAAAUCCUCAACAAAAUGGAGUAGUAGAAAGAAAGAAUAUAAACAUACAAGAAAUGGCUAGAACCAUGUUGAAUGAACAUAGCCUACCCAAAUAUUUUUGGGCCGAAGUCGUAAAUACGGCAUGCUAUGUCAUGAAUAGAGUUCUAGUAAGACCCUUACUCGCCAAAACUCCUUAUGAGUUGUAGAACAAUAAAAAACCCAAUGUUUCAUAUUUUAAAGUUUUUGGGUGUAAGUUUUUUAUCUUGAAUGAAAAAGAUGCCUUAGGAAAAUUUGAUGCUAAAUCCGAUGAAGAAAUUUUUCUUGGCUAUUCUUCUAUUUCUAAAGCAUUUCGUAUCUUUAACAAAAGAACUUUAAUUAUAGAAGAGUCUAUUCAUGUUGUUUUCAAUGAAGUUUCCGAAGUCAAGAAAAAUAAUUUUGAUAAUGAUGUUAAUUUUGAUGCUUUGAAUUUAAAUGAAACCCCUUCUACAUCUAGCAACUUGGAUGUAUCUUCUUCCGAAACAUCCUUACCCAAGGAAUGAAAGUAUAUAGAUGCUCAUCCUAAGGAGCUAAUCAUAUGAGACACAUCAAAAGGGAUUUAAACUCAUUCUUCUUGUAAGAAUUUUUGUGCCAACGUCGCUUUUCUCUCUCAAAUGGAACCAAAAUACAUUGACGAGGCCUUGAAAGAUGAUUCAUGGGUUAUCGCAAUGCAAGAAGAGUUGAAUCAAUUCUAGAGAAAUGAGGUAUGGAAGCUUGUUCCUAGGCCAAAUGACCAUUUAGUUAUCGGUACUAAAUGGGUCUUUAGAAAUAAGCAAGAUGAAUUUGGUCUCGUGGUUCGAAACAAGGCUAGAUUAGUGGCCAAGGGUUUCAACCAAGAAGAAUGUAUUGAUUAUGAAGAAACCUUCGCUAAGUUAUUUCAAAUGGAUGUUAAAAGUAUUUUUCUUAAUGACUUUAUUUCCUAAGAAGUUUAUGUUGAACAAUCUCCCGGAUUUGAGAAUGAUAAUCUCCCUAAUCAUGUGUUUAAAUUGAUUAAAGCUCUCUAUGGAUUGAAACAAGCCCCAAGGGCUUGGUAUGAGAAACUUAGCUCAUUUCUUAUCGAAAAUAAUUUCUCUAAAGGCAAGGUCGAUACUACAUUGUUUAUCAAAAAUUUUGAAAAUAAUUUUCUUAUUGUUCAAAUUUAUGUUGAUGAUAUUAUUUUCGGUUCCACGAAAAAUCUCUAUGGGAGUCAUUUGCUAAAAGUACGAGUCUUGAAUUUAAAAUGAGUUUGAUGCGGGAAUUAAUUUUCCUUUUAGGUUUACAAAUCAAACAACUUAGUAAUGGUAUUUUUUUUAGUCAAACAAAAUAUGUUUUAGAUUUGUUAAAAAAGUUUAAUAUGGAUAGCUCAAAGGCAAUCAACACUCCUAUGAGCACCUCCACUAAGUUAGACAUUGAUGAAAGUGGAGAAAGCUUUGAUCAAAAAGCUUAUAGGGGUAUGAUAGGAAGUUUACUAUACCUCACCACAACUAGACCGGAUAUCAUAUUUACUGUAGAACUUUAUGCUAGGUUUCAAUCUAAUCCUAAGAUAUCUCAUCUUAAAGCAGUUAAGAAAAUACUUAGAUAUCUUAAAGGAACCAUAAAUCUAGGAUUAUAGUAUCCAAAAUCCGAGAACUUUGAACUAAUUGCUUAUGCUGAUGUGGAUUUUGAUUGAUGUAGAUUAGAUAGAAAAAGCACAUCCGGAACAUGUCAAUUUUUAGGACACGCACUUAUUUCUUGGUCUUCUAAGAAACAAAACUUGGUUGCACUAUCUACAACCGAAGCUGAGUACAUUGCAGCUAGUGCAUGUUGUGCAUAAGUUGUGUGGAUGAAAAACACUUUAGAGGAUUAUAAGAUUCAUCUAAAAAACAUUCCCAUAAAAUUUGAUAACACAAAUACAAUAUAUUUAACAAAAAAUCUCAUUCAACACUCUAGAAUUAAACAUAUUGAUAUUAGAUAUCACUUUAUACGAGAUCAUGUUAAUAAUCAUGAUGUAAUAUUAGAAUUUAUUAAUACGAAACAUCAAUUGGCUGAUAAUUUUACAAAGCCCUUAAGUGAAGAACAAUUUGAUUUUAUUAAAAGAGAAUUAGGAAUGUUAAUUUAUCCGAAUGCAUGAAUUUGUUAAAUUUCAUUUUCGGACUUUCUUGAUUCUUUGGAUCACUCACUUAAAUCUUCUCCUCUUAUGAUACGAAUUUUACAUGAUGAUGUAAAUAAGAUUGUGUGCUUCACGACAAUAAAAUGUUUACUUUGAUGUUGGAAUUCUGUGCUUUGAUGCUGAAAAUUUAUAUGAUGUUGUGAUCUCUUUAAAUGAUGAGCAUGUUAUCAUACAAUAAUGCAAUAUCGUGUUUACUUUGAUGCUGAAAAUUUCUAUGAUGAUUAUAAUCUCUAUUGAAUAUUGAGAAGUUUUAAUCAUAUAUGAUGCAAUAUCGGAUUCUUAACUUUUGAGUGCUACAAGCACUAAUGAUAUUACCUCAUGCAAGUAGUGAUGAAAGGCUAUGACGAAACAUUUUAUAAAUGCAUGAAGUGUUUAUACAUUUAAAUAUCUUGAUGUUUGAUACAUGGAAGUCAUUGACAAAUGCAUCUCUCACAGAUUUCACUAUUAUGAAUUUUUAAUAAGAUGAUGUAAUGCUCUUCUCACUAUGAAAUUUUAUUUGUAAAUUUCUCCUUCAUGUGAUACUCCUCUCCCAUGAAUAUUUUCUUAUUCUUCUCAUAAAAAUUGAAGGAAUUCCAAUAGAUAUCUUAAUCCUUGAAAGAUGAAUUUUCGUGUGUGAUAAUUAUUUGCAAGAUUAGGGAUUUGAUUUCAUAUAGAUAUCUCGAUCUUUUUCAUGAAUCCCUUCUCUUUGUCAAAAUUAAAGCAUGUUUCAACGAAAACUAAUUUAUUAUUUUUGACUUGAUUCAAAUCAUUUUACAAAUUUAGUUCUUAAUGGAUUCCCUCCUUACCUUCUUUCCUCUUCUUUAUGCAAAAUGUGAUGACAAAGGGGGAGAAGUUGUUGGAAUCUAUUGCUUUAAUGUUGAUAACAUUUAAUGAUGAGAACUAUUGAGUGUGAAACUUGCUUGAUUUUUUUUUUACCACACUUGUAUUGUUGAAUUUUUCUCCUUUUUUUUUAUGACAAAGGGGGAGAAAUAAUACCAAAAUGUGGUAAAUUGAUGACAAAUGUAUGUAAUGUAUUUCAUCAUAUAUACUUAAAAUGUUUGCUUGAUAAAUUUCUUUCAUUAUGAUAAGAUAUCUAAAACUUAACUUGCUAUUUUACAAUUGAUAUCUUGCCAUAGAAUGAUGAAUUACUAUCUUUGUCAUCUUUCAUAUUUGAAAUAUCAUACUUGAAAAUGAAUGUUAUGACUUGACAUCAUACUUGGCAUCGUAUUUUGAGAAUAAUAGAUCAUGAUAGGAAUCAUGAUGUGCAUGUGAUAAGUUUAAUGAACUUAUCUUAUCAGUUUGUUUCUUGAAUUCAAAGGCCUUGAAUUCAAGAAUGUCUUUUCUCAAGUAUGGCAUAUAGAUAGGGGGAGUUAAGGUUAACUCCCUCAUCAAUUGAUUGUUAUCAUCAAAAAGGGAGAGAUUGUUGAAUCUCAGAUUUUGAUGAUGAAGUCAAUUCUAAUCUAUAUGUUGAGAAAAGUGUGCAGGAUUAACUACGAUAGCAGUAAAACAUAAAGCAGGUGUUGUGCUAGAGUCAAGAUCGAGGUCUCAUUGGGAGUUCGAGAGUUUGUCGGAAGUCCAAACGUUCGUCGGAAGUUCUGUCGGAACUAACCGAGAAGUCUAGGAGCUUGCCAAAGAAGCUCGUCGGAACUCGCCAAGAAAAUCGUCGUAAAGUUCAGGAACUUGCCGGGAGUCCGCUGGAACAUUACCGAGAGUUCGUCGGAUGUUCGUCGGAAGUACGCCGGAAGAGCAAUUGACGCACCGGAACAAGAAGCGCUGUAAUUAUGUCUUAGUUAUCGUAGUUAGAGGAUAAAUUAAGUUAGGAUUGGGAGGUAAUCCCACUAACUUAAUUAGGGGCCAACUGGGCCCUUAACAGGGCUGAAUUGGGCCGAAUUGAGCUGUCAAUUCAGCCCUUGAAAACAUGGUCGGCGGUGGCACCGCUUGGAAAGCGGUGCUCUAGGAUUUCUGGGCGGUGGUACCGCCGACAGUGAAUGCUGCCAGCGGUGGUACCGCCUCUGUCAGGCGGUGGUACCGCCCAGUGUCUGGUCAGCGACGGUAGUACAGCCCAGAAACGGCGAUGGUACCGCCAAUACCUCGGAUUCCGGGGAUGUGACAUUUUUUUACUCCAAUUUUGAAGUCAUUUGGGUCUAUAAAAACCAUACCCUUUUUUGCAUUAAAGGGCACGAAAGUAUUGGCUUAUCUUGAAUUCUUGAGUCUUAAAAGUGUUGUAAAAGUUAGAAAGAGUUCUCCUCCUUCAUCUCUUAGCCUUGUAACCAUCCAAGAAAGAGGAGUGAGCCUUGUAAGGGUUAUCUCAUAAACUCGGGAAAAGGAGAAGCGUUGUAAAGAGGUGUUCGGUCUUCANNNNNNNNNNNNNNNNNNNNCAAUUUUGAAGUCAUUUGGGUCUAUAAAAACCAUACCCUUUUUUGCAUUAAAGGGCACGAAAGUAUUGGCUUAUCUUGAAUUCUUGAGUCUUAAAAGUGUUGUAAAAGUUAGAAAGAGUUCUCCUCCUUCAUCUCUUAGCCUUGUAACCAUCCAAGAAAGAGGAGUGAGCCUUGUAAGGGUUAUCUCAUAAACUCGGGAAAAGGAGAAAGCGUUGUAAAGAGGUGUUCGGUCUUCACCUAUUGAAGGAAGGCCUUUAGUGGAUGCUGGUGACCUCGUCGGAGGAGGAAUCCGAAAGUGGAUGUAGGUCACAUUGACCGAACCACUCUAAAUUUUGGUUUGCUUUUCAUUUGUGCAAUUUACAUUACUGCAAACCUCCUUAAUCUUCUCUUGUACUUUUACGAAAGCUUUCAAGUUCAACUUCUCUCCAAAAUAGAUUGAAUCGAAACCAUUUUCGUCGGAAUCGGUUUUAAUCGAAACGAACAUUUUUCUGAAAUCGCGAAAGUUUUCCGCUGCACUAAUUCAUCCCC
This 7838-nucleotide long non-coding RNA is filed under the name Musa acuminata (dwarf banana). RNAcentral's name for it is "long non-coding RNA (MACU_LNC006545)". The record is from RNAcentral. Lineage: Eukaryota; Viridiplantae; Streptophyta; Magnoliopsida; Zingiberales; Musaceae.